AAUAAAAUAAUUAUGUUUUUAUUAAUUUAUUAUAAAUUUGUUUUACAUAUAAAUUUUAGUAUAUAAUUUUAAUUAUUUUAAUAAUAAUUAAUUAUUUUAGUAGUAAUUAAUAUUAAAAAUUUAAGAAAUUAAGAUUUAGCAAUAUAAAAAUUAAUAACUAAUUUUGUGCCAGCAGUUGCGGUUAAACAAAGGUUAAAUUAAAUUAUUUCAGUUUAUAAUAAAUAAAUGUGUUAAUUAAAAUAAAUAUUAAAUUAUUAGGUGAAAUUUUAAUUUAAUUAAAUUUUAUUUAAAAAUUAUGAUUUAAUAAAUUUUAAUAUAAACUAGGAUUAGAUACCCUAUUAUUAAAAAUUUAAUUUAUAAUACUAAAAUAGUAAAUAAUAAUUUAUUGAAACUUAAAUAAUAUGGCGGUAUUUUAGUUCAUUUAGAGGAAUCUGUCUAAUAAUUGAUAAUCCACGAAUAAAUUUACUUAAUUUAUAAUUUUGUAUAUCAUUGUUAAAAAAAUAUUUUUUAGUAAAAAUAAUAUUUAAAAAUUAAUAAUAGAAAUUAAUUCAGAUCAAGAUGCAGAAUAUAAUUAAGAAUAUGAUGGAUUACAAUAAAUAUAUUUAAAUGAAUAAUUUUAUUGUAAUAAAAAUUUGAAGGUGGAUUUAAAUGUAAUUUUAAUUAGUUUAUUAAAAUGAUUAUAAAUUAAAAUAUGUACAUAUUGCCCGUCACUUUCAUUUAAAAGUUGAAAUAAGUCGUAACAAAGUAGAGGUACUGGAAAGUGUUUCUAGAAAGAA
RNAcentral lists this non-coding RNA (776 nucleotides) under Vanessa indica (Asian admiral). Lineage: Eukaryota; Metazoa; Arthropoda; Insecta; Lepidoptera; Nymphalidae. The record is from RNAcentral.